RNAcentral lists this ribosomal RNA (253 nucleotides) under uncultured bacterium. RNAcentral's name for it is "partial 16S ribosomal RNA". It matches the Rfam family "Bacterial small subunit ribosomal RNA", at positions 524 to 776 of the family's 1533-position model. The record is from RNAcentral.
UACAGAGGUCUCAAGCGUUGUUCGGAUUCAUUGGGCGUAAAGGGUGUGUAGGUGGUUGGGUAAGUCAGGUGUGAAAUCUCACAGCUUAACUGUGAAACUGCGCUUGAUACUGCUCGGCUAGAGGAUCGGAGGGGGUAACGGAAUUCAUGGUGUAGCAGUGAAAUGCGUAGAUAUCAUGAGGAACACCGGUGGCGAAGGCGGUUACCUGGAAGAUUCCUGACUCUGAAACACGAAAGCCAGGGGAGCAAACGGG